This 762-nucleotide ribosomal RNA is filed under the name uncultured bacterium. RNAcentral describes it as "bacterial SSU rRNA". It matches the Rfam family "Bacterial small subunit ribosomal RNA", at positions 771 to 1532 of the family's 1533-position model. The record is from RNAcentral.
AACCGGAUUAGAUACCCUGGUAGUCCACGCCGUAAACGAUGUCGACUUGGAGGCUGUUCCCUUGAGGAGUGGCUUCCGGAGCUAACGCGUUAAGUCGACCGCCUGGGGAGUACGGCCGCAAGGUUAAAACUCAAAUGAAUUGACGGGGGCCCGCACAAGCGGUGGAGCAUGUGGUUUAAUUCGAUGCAACGCGAAGAACCUUACCUACUCUUGACAUCCAGAGAAUUUAGCAGAGAUGCUUUAGUGCCUUCGGGAACUCUGAGACAGGUGCUGCAUGGCUGUCGUCAGCUCGUGUUGUGAAAUGUUGGGUUAAGUCCCGCAACGAGCGCAACCCUUAUCCUUUGUUGCCAGCGCGUAAUGGCGGGAACUCAAAGGAGACUGCCGGUGAUAAACCGGAGGAAGGUGGGGAUGACGUCAAGUCAUCAUGGCCCUUACGAGUAGGGCUACACACGUGCUACAAUGGCGCAUACAAAGAGAAGCGACCUCGCGAGAGCAAGCGGACCUCAUAAAGUGCGUCGUAGUCCGGAUUGGAGUCUGCAACUCGACUCCAUGAAGUCGGAAUCGCUAGUAAUCGUAAAUCAGAAUGUUACGGUGAAUACGUUCCCGGGCCUUGUACACACCGCCCGUCACACCAUGGGAGUGGGUUGCAAAAGAAGUAGAUAGCUUAACCUUCGGGAGGGCGUUUACCACUUUGUGAUUCAUGACUGGGGUGAAGUCGUAACAAGGUAACCGUAGGGGAACCUGCGGCUGGAUCACCUCCUU